This 429-nucleotide ribosomal RNA is filed under the name bacterium. RNAcentral describes it as "partial 16S ribosomal RNA". It matches the Rfam family "Bacterial small subunit ribosomal RNA", at positions 355 to 776 of the family's 1533-position model. The record is from RNAcentral.
UAGGGAAUCUUCCACAAUGGACGCAAGUCUGAUGGAGCAACGCCGCGUGAGUGAAGAAGGUUUUCGGAACGUAAAGCUCUGUUGUUGGUGAAGAAGGAUAGAGGCAGUAACUGGUCUUUAUUUGACGGUAAUCAACCAGAAAGUCACGGCUAACUACGUGCCAGCAGCCGCGGUAAUACGUAGGUGGCAAGCGUUGUCCGGAUUUAUUGGGCGUAAAGCGAGCGCAGGCGGAAUGAUAAGUCUGAUGUGAAAGCCCACGGCUCAACCGUGGAACUGCAUCGGAAACUGUCAUUCUUGAGUGCAGAAGAGGAGAGUGGAAUUCCAUGUGUAGCGGUGGAAUGCGUAGAUAUAUGGAAGAACACCAGUGGCGAAGGCGGCUCUAUGGUCUGCAACUGACGCUGAGGCUCGAAAGCAUGGGUAGCGAACAGG